This 2246-nucleotide unclassified non-coding RNA is filed under the name Zea mays. Its description in RNAcentral is "misc RNA Zm00001eb415320". Lineage: Eukaryota; Viridiplantae; Streptophyta; Magnoliopsida; Poales; Poaceae. The record is from RNAcentral.
AUACGCCGCGUGAUCCGCCCGCUUCCUCCUCCCCGCGCCCGCAGCACCCGCCGCCGAUGGUAGCCGCCACGCCCGCGCAAGGGAAGUUGCUUCCCAAAUCCGCGCACGGGUACAAGAUUUCCUCUGUCCAACCACUCGCAUGGCACAAGUGCUCAGAUUUGGAUCCUUCAGACAAGAUUUCCCAAAUCCCGCAGACAAGUUCAUCCGAGCGCAUCCCGCAGCCCCACGCGCGCAUCCCGCAGCCGCGCCGCAGCCGCUCCUUCCAUCCGCGAGGAUCCCCCAGCCGCUCUUUCCAUCCUCACGAGGAUCCCCCAGCCGUUCCUUCCAUCCUCGCGGAUCCGAGCGCGCUCGAUCGGAUACCCUUAAUCGCGGCUACCAUAAACGCGCUCCUACCCCACGAAAUCGAUGGCGCGCGUGUUGAGGGCGUGGGGAGGAGGUGCGCGGCCGCCAUCAACGAUGUCCUACCCAUCUGCUCCGCGAUUCUUGCCAUUCUUCCUGGUUACCAAUCAGUUUUUGGUUCCCCCGCUGAAGCUCAGAUCUAUCUGAAUGGCUUCCCUAUGAAGCAUCAUCUGGAACUGUUAUCUUGUUGGUUGCUCUCCCAUGCAGUGGUGUUGUACGAAUUUUAUUCUUCUGCAGUAACAGGUACAGAACCAUUGUUGCUUUCAGAUUUGUCGAGUACCACAAGGCAUGAAAUCGUUGGAUUUUUCAGAUUUGUCUACCACGGUUUCAGAAGUUGCAUUUUCGGUGUUUGCUCCCACUACAAUGCUCUCAUCAUUGAGUUCCUUUAUAGUUGUCGUCUGAUCUGGGUUUGAAGCAAUUGCGUUCUCUUUCAUUUGGUUGAUAUGGCUCUCUUUCUCCACAAGAGCUGCUUCCAAUUCUUUCUGCGUGUUGGUAAGAUAUGUCGUGGUAGUUUCUGAAUCCAUGAGCUUGUUUUUCAAUUCUGCCCUCUCAAUACUUAGGACAAAUGUUUUUCAAUUCUGCCCUCUCAAUUCUGCUUCCAAUUAUAUUUGUUUGUUACAAAAUACUUUAAAUUGUCAUUUCAUUUAAACUGUUUAUUGUAAACUAGAAAGUAUACAUACAUAUACACAGAUUUGUACACGUAAUCAUGUACAAAAUUUGCCACACCUCAAAUUUUGUGCGUCCUCCGCCACUGCUCGCCCCCACACCUCGCCCUCCAUCCACCUCCCCAAAUGACGCGCCUUCCUGGAAUUAAAAAGGCCGAAGGGAGGCCACACACGAGACCACCAAUCGGACACACGCGAGUACAUCCGACGCCCACCAUCAGCCAGUGUACAGAGCCGUUGCGAUGCCCGUGCCUCUGCCCCCGCCUCCUCUACCCUCGCGACGCAACAUCACUGCGAACACUCUAGCAGUGCUAGAAGCCAUGGCUGCACACAAUGUGAGGACUCUCAUCUACUCCAGCACGUGUGCGACCUAUGGAGAGCCUGACAAGAUGCCCUCGCUGAAGGAACUCCCCAGCAUUAUAUUGGUGAUAUCUCAGAGUUGGAUGCAUUGGAAGGCUUUGCUAAAGGUUUUCCUGGUUUUUAUCAUAGAUCUGUGCAUAAGAUUUUCUUGAUUUUUUGUUUGUUUCAGAGAAAGCAGUAUUCUAACAUGGCAUGUUCCUACCUUGUUUUCUUAUUUGUCUGUGUUGUCUCCUGCAUGUUAUACACAAAAUCUUUGUACCCACAAUCUUUGUAUUCUAAGAUCGAUAAGUGCCCAAAAUCUUUGUAUGCUUCUAAACAGACCUUUGGUAUUGUUGUACACAUUGGAUUCAAUACCACUUCUGUUGUCUCGGUAAGUAAUUGUCCAUAUUUAUAUUAUUAAGGGUUUUCAAUUAUUUACAGUGUGUUCCCAUGCGUUUGGUGAACAUUAGCCAUGUUGUUUGGCAUAUACAUCUUUCAGCUGCACUUAUCAUGUCAUUUACAUUUCACCAUUUUGAUGUGGAUCUGAAAUCACAUUGUUAAUUUUUUUGUAUUGAUCUACUACUACCUUGUCAAUUGUUUUUAUUUUCUAAAUUUUUAGGGAGUUCCAAUGUUCUAUAUGGGUGAUGAAUAUGGUCACACAAAGGGAGGGAACAACAAUACAUACUUCCAUGACCAUUAUGUCAAUUAUUUCCGUUGGGAUAAGAAGGAAGAACAAUCCUCUGAGUUGUACAGAUUCUGCCGUCUCAUGACCAAAUUCCGCAACAUCUAUUUUCCUGACCUAUGAUGACGACUCAAGGAGGUUUGCAGCCGACAAGCAAUGAA